Molecule: ribosomal RNA, 478 nt
Filed under: uncultured bacterium
Lineage: Bacteria
Description: partial 16S ribosomal RNA
Rfam family: Bacterial small subunit ribosomal RNA
Source: RNAcentral
GACGAACGCUGGCGGCGUGCUUAACACAUGCAAGUCGAACGGUAAGGCCCUUCGGGGUACACGAGUGGCGAACGGGUGAGUAACACGUGGGUGAUCUGCCCUGCACUUCGGGAUAAGCCUGGGAAACUGGGUCUAAUACCGGAUAGGACUCCUGGCUUCAUGGUUGGGGGUGGAAAGCUUUUGCGGUGUGGGAUGGGCCCGCGGCCUAUCAGCUUGUUGGGGGGGUAAUGGCCUAUCAAGGCGACGACGGGUAGCCGGCCUGAGAGGGUGACCGGUGCAACGGGGACUGAGAUACGGCCCAGACUCAUACGGGAGGCAGGAGUGUGGAAUAUUGCACAAUGGGCGCAAGCCUGAUGCAGCGACGCCGCGUGAGGGAUGACGGCCUUCGGGUUGUAAACCUCUUUCAGCUAUGACGAAACGCAAGUGACGGUAGUAGAAGAAGAAGGACCGGCCAACUACGUGCCAGCCGCCGCAGUAA